This 187-nucleotide ribosomal RNA is filed under the name Enterococcus sp. RNAcentral describes it as "partial 23S ribosomal RNA". It matches the Rfam family "Bacterial large subunit ribosomal RNA", at positions 2740 to 2925 of the family's 2925-position model. The record is from RNAcentral. Lineage: Bacteria; Bacillati; Bacillota; Bacilli; Lactobacillales; Enterococcaceae.
GCUGGGUAGCUAUGUAGGGAAGGGAUAAACGCUGAAAGCAUCUAAGUGUGAAGCCCACCUCAAGAUGAGAUUUCCCAUUUCUUUAAGAAAGUAAGAUCCCUGAGAGAUGAUCAGGUAGAUAGGUCAGAAGUGGAAGGCCAGUGAUGGUUGGAGCGGACUGAUACUAAUCGAUCGAGGACUUAACCAA